RNAcentral lists this ribosomal RNA (484 nucleotides) under uncultured bacterium. Its description in RNAcentral is "bacterial SSU rRNA". It matches the Rfam family "Bacterial small subunit ribosomal RNA", at positions 28 to 517 of the family's 1533-position model. The record is from RNAcentral.
GACGAACGCUGGCGGCGUGGAUUAGGCAUGCAAGUCGAGCGGCAAGGAAUCUUCGGAUUCCCUAGAGCGGCGAACGGGUGAGUAACACGUGAACAAUCUGUCCCUACAUUCCGGAUAAUUGGAAGAAAUUCCUUGUAAUACGGGGGAGGAUUCCUCAUUGGCAUCUUUGAGGAAAGGAAGGCGCAAGCCGUGCAGGGAGGAGUUCGCGGCCUAUCAGGUAGUUGGUGAGGUAAUGGCCCACCAAGCCUACGACGGGUAGCUGGUCUGAGAGGAUGGUCAGCCACAUUGGAACUGAGACACUGUCCAGACUCCUACGGGAGGCUGCAGUCGAGAAUCUUGGGCAAUGCACGAAAGUGUGACCCAGCGACGCCGCGUGAAGGAUGAAGGCCCUCUGGGUCGUAAACUUCGUUUAAGGGGAAGAACGGGCGAUUGCCUCUUGACGGUACCCUUGAAUAAGGACCGGCUAACUACGUGCCAGCAGCCG